GACGAACGCUGGCGGCGUGCUUAACACAUGCAAGUCGAACGGAAAGGCCCUGCUUUUGUGGGGUGCUCGAGUGGCGAACGGGUGAGUAACACGUGAGUAACCUGCCCUUGACUUUGGGAUAACUUCAGGAAACUGGGGCUAAUACCGGAUAGGAGCUCCUGCUGCAUGGUGGGGGUUGGAAAGUUUCGGCGGUUGGGGAUGGACUCGCGGCUUAUCAGCUUGUUGGUGGGGUAGUGGCUUACCAAGGCUUUGACGGGUAGCCGGCCUGAGAGGGUGACUGGCCACAUUGGGACUGAGAUACGGCCCAGACUCCUACGGGAGGCAGCAGUGGGGAAUAUUGCACAAUGGGCGGAAGCCUGAUGCAGCAACGCCGCGUGCGGGAUGACGGCCUUCGGGUUGUAAACCGCUUUCGCCUGUGACGAAGCGUGAGUGACGGUAAUGGGGAAAGAAACACCGGCUAACUACGU
RNAcentral lists this ribosomal RNA (467 nucleotides) under uncultured bacterium. RNAcentral describes it as "partial 16S ribosomal RNA". It matches the Rfam family "Bacterial small subunit ribosomal RNA", at positions 28 to 506 of the family's 1533-position model. The record is from RNAcentral.